This 77-nucleotide transfer RNA is filed under the name Chloroflexota bacterium. RNAcentral's name for it is "Chloroflexi bacterium (hot springs metagenome) tRNA-Val". It matches the Rfam family "tRNA". From Rfam's summary of the family: Transfer RNA (tRNA) molecules are approximately 80 nucleotides in length. Their secondary structure includes four short double-helical elements and three loops (D, anti-codon, and T loops). Further hydrogen bonds mediate the characteristic L-shaped molecular structure. tRNAs have two regions of fundamental functional importance: the anti-codon, which is responsible for specific mRNA codon recognition, and the 3' end, to which the tRNAs corresponding amino acid is attached (by aminoacyl-tRNA synthetases). tRNAs cope with the degeneracy of the genetic code in two manners: having more than one tRNA (with a specific anti-codon) for a particular amino acid; and 'wobble' base-pairing, i.e. permitting non-standard base-pairing at the 3rd anti-codon position. The record is from RNAcentral. Lineage: Bacteria; Bacillati; Chloroflexota.
GGGCGGUUAGCUCAGUUGGUCAGAGCGCCUCCCUUACAAGGAGGAGGCCACAGGUUCAAGUCCUGUACCGCCCACCU